This 460-nucleotide ribosomal RNA is filed under the name uncultured bacterium. RNAcentral's name for it is "partial 16S ribosomal RNA". It matches the Rfam family "Bacterial small subunit ribosomal RNA", at positions 338 to 795 of the family's 1533-position model. The record is from RNAcentral.
CCUACGGGAGGCAGCAGUGAGGAAUAUUGGUCAAUGGGCGAGAGCCUGAACCAGCCAAGUCGCGUGAAGGAUGACGGCCCUACGGGUUGUAAACUUCUUUUGUCAGGGAGCAAUUGGGUCCACGCGUGGGCUUAGCGAGAGUACCUGAAGAAAAAGCAUCUGCUAACUCCGUGCCAGCAGCCGCGGUAAUACGGAGGAUGCGAGCGUUAUCCGGAGUUAUUGGGUUUAAAGGGUGCGUAGGCGGAAUAUCAAGUCAGCGGUAAAAAUUCGGGGCUCAACCCCGUCGUGCCGUUGAAACUGAUGUUCUUGAGUGGGCGAGAAGGAUGCGGAAUGCGUGGUGUAGCGGUGAAAUGCAUAGAUAUCACGCAGAACUCCGAUUGCGAAGGCAGCAUACCGGCGCCCAACUGACGCUGAAGCACGAAAGCGUGGGGAGCGAACAGGAUUAGAUACCCUAGUAGUC